UACGCAGGCGGAAAAUUAAGUCAGUGGUGAAAUCCUGCAGCUUAACUGUAGAACUGUCAUUGAUACUGGUUUUCUUGAAUAUAGUUGAGGUAGGCGGAAUGUGUAAUGUAGCGGUGAAAUGCUUAGAUAUUACACAGAACACCGAUUGCGAAGUCAGCUUACUAAGCUAUGAUUGACGCUGAGGUACGAAAGCGUGGGGAGCGAACAGGAUUAGAUACCCUGGUAGUCC
Molecule: ribosomal RNA, 229 nt
Filed under: uncultured bacterium
Lineage: Bacteria
Description: partial 16S ribosomal RNA
Rfam family: Bacterial small subunit ribosomal RNA
Source: RNAcentral